RNAcentral lists this transfer RNA (86 nucleotides) under Salmonella enterica subsp. enterica serovar Cerro. RNAcentral describes it as "tRNA-Asn". It matches the Rfam family "tRNA". From Rfam's summary of the family: Transfer RNA (tRNA) molecules are approximately 80 nucleotides in length. The record is from RNAcentral. Lineage: Bacteria; Pseudomonadati; Pseudomonadota; Gammaproteobacteria; Enterobacterales; Enterobacteriaceae.
UCCUCUGUAGUUCAGUCGGUAGAACGGCGGACUGUUAAUCCGUAUGUCNAAUCCGUAUGUCACUGGUUCGAGUCCAGUCAGAGGAG